Molecule: unclassified non-coding RNA, 1865 nt
Filed under: Hevea brasiliensis (rubber tree)
Lineage: Eukaryota; Viridiplantae; Streptophyta; Magnoliopsida; Malpighiales; Euphorbiaceae
Source: RNAcentral
GAAUGCAGUGCUUACAUAGUAUGCAAUUCCCAUAAUCAGUGAAAUCAUAGCAGUUGCUGUGCUUCGUAGUGAUUUUGGAAAUUCUUGGUAGUAUAAUGUUACUUGUCCUGGAUAAUGGAAUGCUUCUCCAAACCCAAUCACAGCCAACUGCAGCACCAGCCGGAAGACUGACAUGGGAACAACACAACCAGUCUGGUUUACAAGGUGGUGGGUUUGUGCUACUUUAAGCCUUUUUGACUCAAACAGACCUGCAACAGCCAUGCCUAACACAUUGAACACAUGGCCUGGAGUUGGUGAUCAAUGAGUCAGUUUCUGCCAAAUUGUGUAUACCAGUCAAUCAAUGAAAGCAAGAAAUACUGCAGUAGAGGCUAAUAUAAAGACUAUCAUUGACCCUGCUGGAAUUUUGAAAUGUGGUCCAAGGUGACGGUCCAUAGUAAGAGCUUGGAGGAUUGUCAAACUACUUGGGACUGCAAUUGGAGUGCUUAAGAAAAUGGCACUUGACAACAACGGAAAAUCCUCAAGAAGGUUUUGAGGUCCUCCACUUGCUGUGUUGAACAAAGGCUCCAUGGUUUUGCAAUGGAGCCAUCCGAUCGGGUUUCUCCUUCUAUCUUUAAAGCUGCAUGAUUAAGGUACCUCAAGCUUUUAGUUGGUGCCAAAACCUCUAUUUGCACUGCCUUGUGCCCACAGUAGUAAUCUUCUAUUUUGGAAGAAAGUGGAACUUUCCUUUUUCGAAUUGCUGCAGUGAUGACGCGAGCUAAGUUUGUAAAUGGGCUCCCCUGCAGCUUAAUCUGAUGAUAGUAAUGACUUCCCAAGAAGAAAACUGCUAAGCCAACAAUGUUAGCGACAGCAGAUAGGCCGAACCCAAGUGCCCAACUUACAUUAUCCUCAGUAUAGACAACAAUUGUGGCACCUGUCACUGUAGAGCCAUACGAAAUGAUCACAUACCAAUUAAUAAAAGCCUCUUGAUCCUUCACACUGUUGAAUUGGUUUGCUCCCAUUGCUGCCAUUGUAAAAGUGCGGUCGUCCUAAAUCUAUUGAUACUCAAGCAACACCCAAGUACAAGACAGCAAAUUGUAAAUCUGAUCGAGUUGUGCAGAAGCUUGAUCCAUUUUCACAUGGUUGUGGCCUCAAGGAAUGCAGCACUGAUGUAAGGGUUAGAAGGACUUCGCCCUGGAAGUGUGUAGAUAGUGAAUUGUUGAUUGAUUAUUUUUGAGCAUUCAACUAACUAGUGUCCGAUGCAGAAUACAUAAAGUGAAGACUACGAGAUGGUGUUCUUGUGAUGUGUGUGCAUGUAGUAUGUUUGGAACAGGGGAUUGAGGCUUUUACCAUCAAAGAAAAGAAAGAAGAUAUCCAGAUGACAGAAAAACAUCAUAGAAAGGAGUCAGCAAUAAUGGCAGCAAUUACUGGUAGCAGACAGGUGCUGCCAUACACAGUGUUGUAAAUCUGAGUAGCAGUGAUGCUUUUCACAUGAAAUUUUUAAGUCAAAUGCACUACCAAGUUCGUCAUUGAUCCAGCUAUUGCCAGCGUCAAGCCCACCAGUGUCCUGUUUUUUUAUGCAGAAGCCAAAUCAAUUGGUGCCAUAUGUUCUGGAUAUGAAUGAGAGAUGGGGAUUUACAUGUUACACUAUUAGACAUGAAUUCAUUUUUUUCAUUCUGAAAAUCAUUUGACAUGAAAAUCAUGACAAGCUUACUUCUGCAAGUUCCUUUCUGGAAAAGAUUUGACAUGUUGCAAUGCUGCACAAACUUUAAUUGCAAUAUGCUUGGUGUAUCUGAUCUUUGCAUCUCUCCAUUGUGGGGUAAAGGAUUGUCUUCAUUGCAACUCAAAUGUUGGAGCUCAGUUUCUGCCAUUUUUGCUAAUAGAGUGAG